UUGGAUGAAAUUAAUGUGGAUCUCAUACUUUAGAAAUGGAUCCCGCAUGAAGUGAUAGAGUCCACAUUGAUUUCAUCCAA
Molecule: microRNA precursor, 80 nt
Filed under: Medicago truncatula (barrel medic)
Lineage: Eukaryota; Viridiplantae; Streptophyta; Magnoliopsida; Fabales; Fabaceae
Description: MIR5269 microRNA precursor family
Rfam family: MIR5269 microRNA precursor family
Source: Rfam by way of RNAcentral